ACUCACCUUACCCACAUUUUUGGUAUAUGUUUUGCUCCCAAUUGUAGUUUCCUGAUACAAACUCUAUUCUCCAUUAUUAUUUAAGGAUUUUCAAUCAUAGUUUUAUAAUUACAAUUGCAAAUUAUUUUAGUUCUCUGAGAUUUAAUUCAUUUGGUCUGGAAACUUGAAUUCAUCUGAAGAUACUAAAUAAUUUCAUAUUCUCUUUUACUUUUUAGGUCAUUAAUCAUCAUAUGUAUUCUACCUCAUCCAAUUACGAAAAGCUUUUCCUGGAUUGAGUACAGAGCAGAAAUGCAUUCUCUUCUGAGAAAUGUCCAGUCAUGAAAAGCAAUAUGGAGGGGUAAUGAAGAUGAAGAGGAGGUAACCUAAUAAAAGGUAAGCACCUACUCUGUUAUAGGCAGUGUACUCGAUGCUUUAAAUGUGUUAUUUUGCUCAAUUAUUACAAUAUCUCAUUUCACACGUAAAGAAC
Molecule: long non-coding RNA, 466 nt
Organism: Papio anubis (olive baboon)
Lineage: Eukaryota; Metazoa; Chordata; Mammalia; Primates; Cercopithecidae
Source: Ensembl